This 302-nucleotide unclassified non-coding RNA is filed under the name Hevea brasiliensis (rubber tree). Lineage: Eukaryota; Viridiplantae; Streptophyta; Magnoliopsida; Malpighiales; Euphorbiaceae. The record is from RNAcentral.
CGAGCUGAAUUGCGAGGGCCAGAAUUCUGAUUCCGUUUGGACUUAUGCUGUUUUCGUGCAUUGUUAACAGCAGCAUUGUCACGUGGCUUAGGGCACUCCUUGAGAGAAUGGUUGUAAGAACCACAGUUGAAACACCGGGCAGCCUCAUCUACUAUUUCCAGGCCUCCCUCAACAUUACUUGGACCAUCUGUUGAAGACAACCCUAAUGCAAAUCCACGAUCAUAAAGAGGCACAAAGUCAUCAUCAGGAGGAAUAUAACCAUCAGACUGCAGCUUCUUUGUUGGGUUCUCUAUCCAGAAUGA